RNAcentral lists this ribosomal RNA (449 nucleotides) under uncultured bacterium. RNAcentral's name for it is "bacterial SSU rRNA". It matches the Rfam family "Bacterial small subunit ribosomal RNA", at positions 355 to 796 of the family's 1533-position model. The record is from RNAcentral.
UGGGGAAUAUUGGACAAUGGGGGCAACCCUGAUCCAGCAAUGCCGCGUGUGUGAAGAAGGCCUGAGGGUUGUAAAGCACUUUCAGUGGGGAGGAGGACUGGUAGGUUAAGAGCUAAUCAGUUGGACGUUACCCACAGAAGAAGCACCGGCUAACUCCGUGCCAGCAGCCGCGGUAAUACGGAGGGUGCAAGCGUUAAUCGGAAUUACUGGGCGUAAAGGGUGCGUAGGUGGUUUGAUAAGUUAACUGUGAAAGCCCUGGGCUCAACCUGGGAAUGCCAGUUAAUACUGUUGGACUAGAGUAUGGGAGAGGAUAGUGGAAUUUCCGGUGUAGCGGUGAAAUGCGUAGAGAUCGGAAGGAACACCAGUGGCGAAGGCGGCUAUCUGGCCUAAUACUGACACUGAAGCACGAAAGCGUGGGGAGCAAACAGGAUUAGAUACCCCGGUAGUCC